CAGGCUUUCUAUGAAACAAGUUAAUUUUCUUCUACUAAGAGACAUGCUGUGGAGACAUCCUAUAAAGCCCCAGAUGUCUCUUUUAAACUUUUGCCUGAAAAGAAUUUAGUCAGAAUUUUUGUCUAACAUUUCAGACCUUAUAGCACCACCUAGUGGGAUGGAAUUUUUCUCCUUGGGGAGCCUUGUCAACCCUUUGCCCGAAACCUCAAGUUUCCCAAUUCUUUUCUCUCUUAAGUCCCUCUGUCAGUGAUCAGUCCGCAUACCCUAUUUGUCAAGAAAAUUCCACUUUCAAUAGCCUGGAGGAAGCCAUCCUGGCAAAACAGAUUUUAGCCUUUUUACUGUCCCCAUCAAAGGAAGGAGAGCUAUUCAAUCCUUAUGUUCUCUUGGGGCACCUGUUCUACAUCCAACUACAUUGUGAUUUAAACAAAAAAAAAAAGAUUUUAUAUUUAGAAGUCAAUUGGUCCCAGUCUCUGGGAUUCCACUGUUUCACCGGGACCAUAACAAGGGAAGCCAGAGAUAGUAUUUAGACACUACUUCCCUUAAAGAUUCUUGCCCAACUCCAACUACAACAUAAUCUCUCCCAGACCCCUGGGGUACCUUGGAAGGCUUUUAGGCUGAGUGGGCCUAGGAAACCAGCAGGGUGGAAAACUAGGACCUUAUACAGGUGAACAUGACUAAUGCUGCCAACUAGGUCCUCCAGAUACAUGGGUGAAGAUCACACUUUCAUCCAUGGAUGGAACCUACGAUGGUUACCAAGACCCAGAGGACAGGGGAAGGAAGAGGAGAAGGAAGAUGCCCUUUCUCUCUUUCUCUCCACCCUAGGUCACUCAGAAGGGAAAGAGAAGACUAAGGGAUGCCUUUGUCUCCCCUGUCUUUCUAGAUGGGUAACAAACCAUCCACAGUCCACACUCCUCUCAAGUAUAUUCUGAAACACUGGAACUCCUUUGACCCUGAGACUCAGAAGAAAAAACAACUUAUAUUCUGUUACACAAGGGUGUGGUCAUAAGAUGACCAACUACAAGACAGGCAGGAGGCCUGGCCUCCUCAGAAAAGUGUUAAUUUUAAUACUAUCCAACAACUAGAUCUUUUCUACAGAUGGGAGGACAAAUGGUCCAAGGUUCCCUAUAUACAAACAUUCUUUGCCCUGCAAGACAACCCAAAUCUUUAUAAGCAUUGUAAAAUUAACCCUGCCCUCUUGACAGCCAUAUCAGACAAAACUAUAAAAGAUAAUUCCCCAAAGUCAGAGAGACAAAUAUAACUUCUAGGUGCCCUCCCUGCCCCACCUAUCCAGGGCCCCAAUAGCCAUAUCAUCAGCUCCUCCAGUUUUGCCACCCAAGAAACCCCUAAAUUCACUGUUACCUCUACAAGAAAUGCCCAGCAGACAUAGUACUACUAGGGUUCAAGUUCCCUUCUCAUUACAGGACCUUAGACAAAUAAAGAGGGACCUAGACAAGUUCUCUGAUAACCCUGAGAGAUAUAUAAAGGCUUUCCAAAAUCUAACACAAGUAUUUAAUCUUACAAGGAGAGAUAGUAUACUACUCCUAAGCCAAACCCUAACUACUACCAAGAAACAGACAACCCUACAGACAACAGGAACAUUCGGAGAUGAACAUGUCUCCCAUAACCAGUCAAAAAAAGAACCCAGUCAAAAGGGUAAAGAGGUGAAAAAGAGACAGGAUCCCAAUUCCCAAUAGGAAGAGAAACAGUGCCCCUUGAAAAUCCUAAUUAGAGCCCUAGUGACCCCAUAGAUGAAUGAAAGAAAAAAAAAACAAUUUCUAUUGUGCAUAUUAAAAGACUUACAAAAAAA
This 1807-nucleotide long non-coding RNA is filed under the name Macaca fascicularis (crab-eating macaque). RNAcentral's name for it is "lncRNA (ENSMFAG00000057076.1)". Lineage: Eukaryota; Metazoa; Chordata; Mammalia; Primates; Cercopithecidae. The record is from RNAcentral.